This 533-nucleotide unclassified non-coding RNA is filed under the name uncultured Bartonella sp. Its description in RNAcentral is "partial 16S-23S ribosomal RNA intergenic spacer". The record is from RNAcentral. Lineage: Bacteria; Pseudomonadati; Pseudomonadota; Alphaproteobacteria; Hyphomicrobiales; Bartonellaceae.
CUACGGCCCCUAAAUCAGGAUAAAGCGUUUAAAACGAUCAAAAGAGGGAUUACAAAAUCUAUAUAACUCAAAGCGAUAUGAUUGAACCGAUAGUUUCAUAUAGGCAUUGACGUCUAUGAGCAUUUGGAAUUUAUAUCAACCAAAUGGACGCUGUAAAAAUCACUUUGCAAGGAAUUUUGACUCCUUAGUAUUUAGCAUUUGAACUGUUUUUUUGCCAUUAAUUUGCUUUAACUUUGGAUUACUCACACAAAAGCAAUAAGCCUGCCAAUUUUGAUAAGCUUUUUAGAAGCAAUCUUUUUAGAAGCAAUCUUUUUAGAAGUACUUAUUUUUUAAAAGCACUUAUGAAAGUAAUGGAUAAACUGGUGGGCCUGGGAGGACUUGAACCUCCGACCUCACGCUUAUCAAGCGCGCGCUCUAACCAACUGAGCUACAAGCCCUCCGGGAUAAACCGGAAAACCUUCCCCGGCAUCCUCUUAUAAAACGCUUAAAUUUUAUCAAGGAAAGCGUUUUUCAAAGCCCACGGUGGACUUGUU